Molecule: ribosomal RNA, 449 nt
Filed under: uncultured bacterium
Lineage: Bacteria
Description: partial 16S ribosomal RNA
Rfam family: Bacterial small subunit ribosomal RNA
Source: RNAcentral
AACGAACGCUGGCGGCAUGCCUAACACAUGCAAGUCGAACGAAGCCUUCGGGCUUAGUGGCGCACGGGUGCGUAACGCGUGGGAAUCUGCCCUUGGGUUCGGAAUAACAGUUAGAAAUGACUGCUAAUACCGGAUGAUGUCUUCGGACCAAAGAUUUAUCGCCCAAGGAUGAGCCCGCGUAGGAUUAGGUAGUUGGUGGGGUAAUGGCCCACCAAGCCGACGAUCCUUAGCUGGUCUGAGAGGAUGAUCAGCCACACUGGGACUGAGACACGGCCCAGACUCCUACGGGAGGCAGCAGUGGGGAAUAUUGGACAAUGGGCGAAAGCCUGAUCCAGCAAUGCCGCGUGAGUGAUGAAGGCCUUAGGGUUGUAAAGCUCUUUUACCAGGGAUGAUAAUGACAGUACCUGGAGAAUAAGCACCGGCUAACUACGUGCCAGCAGCCGCGGUAA